Molecule: long non-coding RNA, 383 nt
Organism: Schistocerca gregaria
Lineage: Eukaryota; Metazoa; Arthropoda; Insecta; Orthoptera; Acrididae
Exons: 3
Source: RefSeq, a predicted model, not a curated record
GAAGUUUUGAUGAAGAAUUCAGCUACAGUUUUUAACAUAGGCGAAUACGAGGCUAGCAAAAAGAGACAAGAUAUUACCCAAAUGCCCGCGUAAUGGGAAACGGAAGAUUUCCAAGAAGCGAAGGAAAUUGUUUCUGCUGGGUACAUUACUGAAAAUGAAGCAAAUUCUUUUUUAUGCUAUUAGCACACUGCGAGAUAAACAGUGGAAGUCAAAUGCAGUCGAAGAUGCAUUCGAAGUGGACAACAGAAAACGUUCAAGACGCGAAAGAAGCUAUUUCUCUUGGUAUCGUGACCAUUCAUACAGCUAAGUUGUUUUAAAUGGUACUAGCACACCGCAAGAUAAAGUAAACAGAGGAAGUCAGUCGCUCUCGAAGAUAAUUUGUA